UCCCCUAACACAUGAACACAUUGCAGCUGUUUUGUAUUCAGGGUUUGUGUAAUGCUAUCAAUUCUCUUCCACUUUGUUUCUUCUCCUUGCUCCCUCAGAAGAAUAAAGUAACUCUAAAGUAAAAAAGAAAGAAAUCAUUCCUUAACUACCUUGAGAAAUAUGUUGGCGUGACUGUGAAAGCUAAGUAAGACUGAGGGAUACAGGGUCUUGAGAUAUAAAAGUUGCCACAGUUAGUGAAAAGAUCCAGAGAUUUUCCUCAGAAGCAUCUGAGGAAAGAAAAUUCAGUGAAAUUUCAUGGAAUCAGAAAAAACAAUCUGCUACAGUACAUAUCCAGAAAUUUUUCUAAAUAAAACCAGAAAACUUCUGAUAAACAAAUGAUGAACAUUUGCAGGGAAAUGAAAAUUCUUAUGCAUGAACAGGAAUGUGACCCAGGGCAGUACCUCCUAGUCCCUUGGGAAUUACAGAACAUUUGAAAGAAAUUAGAAAUUCCGAUGAAUUAGGAAAUGUAUGAAUGAAAGAGCCUGGAAACCAACAGGAUAGAUCAUGAACUUCACAGCACUAAGAUUUCUUUAAACCUCAUGUUCCUGCAAAAAACACAAUCAAGUAUUCAGCAGAUUUUUAAUAAGACUCAUUUUGUUACACAUUUCAAACCAUCCUGAUUUUUCUUUCAGAAAAUCACUCGCACAAGCAGCAACUACGUUCUCAAAUGCAGAAUUAUGUUAGCAAUAACAUAAUUUUUCUUUUAACAAGUACAAUAUGAAAUCCAUAUUAUUUUUGCAUUUUCUAGAACUCAAGCUAUUGGCAGUCUUUGAACCUCAUCCUCCAAAGUUUCUCCAAGGUAAAAAAGGGAAGAUAUUGGCCAAGGCACCUCAGGAGACAAAACCAGCUGGGUUUCAUUAUGGUCUUGAGAAUGGUUGUAUUGAGAGAUUAGUCAGGCCUAAGAAACAACUUCCUUUAUUCUACUCAGUUUGGAAGCAGAUACACCUCACAAGAGCAGUAGAAAUCAAUAUUAGUCUGAACCACAAUGAGCCUUCAUAUUCAGAAGUUCAGCUGCAACUGGGGUCAAAAAGAGCAGAGAAAGAGUAUUUGAAUAGUACAGUGAUCCAUGAAUCAAUUCAAGGCAGUAAAUAACAUCUGUGCCUGAGUGAGCUAUAAUACUUUAUAAAACAAUAACACUUCUGAUUGAUAGGAAAGUUUUCUAUCAUACCAUAGGCAAAACUGUUGCCAAUGUAAUCUUUUCUCCUAGGGAAAGGGGCAUUUGUGAUCAUUCCUUCCUGCAUUAACUUUCAGCUUGCCAGCUUCAGAGGCAAAGAUUAAAGGUAUUGUAUUUAAGUUAUAUGUUUGGCAACAAAUCAUGUUCGUGUGGAUUGAAGAGACCUGGUUAACACUUUGCCAGUCUUACAAAGCAGGAAUCUGCUAGGGCACAGAGACCUCUGUCCCUGCCAGCAGGCAGGUGGGAAAAUAAAAAAAAAAA
Molecule: long non-coding RNA, 1474 nt
Filed under: Taeniopygia guttata (zebra finch)
Lineage: Eukaryota; Metazoa; Chordata; Aves; Passeriformes; Estrildidae
Description: lncRNA (ENSTGUG00000028975.1)
Source: RNAcentral